AUGAUGCGUGUUUGUCUUCUUCUGUUAUAUUGGUGUUUGCCAUAACAACUUGUUGGAUGACUGCCACCAACUGUUGGCCGUAGCCUAGAGCAUCAGGUGCGUGAAAACAUGGAGACCAUAAUAACAAAGAUUUGCUUAUUCUUAUGGGAGGAUACAAACAGCACAUCAACAGGUGUUUUUUUAUACAUAGGCCUAUUUAUGAAUAAUUUGAAACAUGUUAUGGCUGUGUAUGUUUCUUGGCAGAGGCGUUUGUCCACCAUCAACAGUUUAUUGUCAUUGAAAUAUUUUCAGUGAACCAAAGUCGCCUCCAUCAAACGUCAGUUGUCAACGCGUCACCAACUGGGGAACUUUGUUAGCAAAAUC
This is a long non-coding RNA of Etheostoma spectabile (orangethroat darter), 363 nucleotides long. RefSeq lists it as uncharacterized. NCBI's taxonomy places the organism in Eukaryota, Metazoa, Chordata, Actinopteri, Perciformes, Percidae. The transcript has 2 exons. The record is from RefSeq and is a predicted model, not a curated record.